RNAcentral lists this long non-coding RNA (240 nucleotides) under Trifolium pratense (red clover). RNAcentral describes it as "long non-coding RNA (TPRA_LNC005611)". Lineage: Eukaryota; Viridiplantae; Streptophyta; Magnoliopsida; Fabales; Fabaceae. The record is from RNAcentral.
CUUUAUAUAUUUUUGUACAAAAUAUAUUUUAUUAUUGUUUUUAAUUUAAUUUAGUGAAUCGGUAAAAAGAAAAACUAACGGCCCAAUUGUUUUCUUUUUUUGGUGCAGAAGUCAAAUCCACCACCGUCAUCAGGUGGCAAUUCCAUUUCCAAUCUUCAUCGUGAUCAUCAUCCCCGUCAGCGACAAUCACCAGAUCGAUCUAUGCAAGAGGCGGAGCCACGGCGACCUCGCAAACUGAAA